Molecule: non-coding RNA, 379 nt
Organism: Anguilla anguilla (European eel)
Lineage: Eukaryota; Metazoa; Chordata; Actinopteri; Anguilliformes; Anguillidae
Source: the annotation of a RefSeq genome assembly
UAUGGCGAUGUCAAGCGUUCUACUGCUGGUGAUGCUGGGACUCCUUGUACAGGAAUCAAUGGCAGAUAUAGUCCUGACUCAGGCUCCAGCUGCUCGGUCUGUUCAGCUGGGAGACACUGUCUCUAUCAGCUGUACAGUCAGUCAGAGCGUUUACAAUGGCAACUGGCUCCACUGGUACCUGCAGAAACCUGGUCAGGCUCCUAAACUUCUGAUUUAUCUUGCCACAAGUCGCCAGUCUGGGAUUCCUGAUCGUUUCAGUGGGAGUGGAUCUGGGACUCAGUUUACACUGAAGAUCACUGGAGUCCAGGCUGAAGAUGCAGGAGAUUAUUACUGUCAGGGUGCUCAUUAUAUCAGUAGUAGCUGGGUGUUCACACAGUGA